UACGAAGGGGACUAGCGUUGUUCGGAAUCACUGGGCGUAAAGCGCACGUAGGCGGAUUUGUAAGUCAGGGGUGAAAUCCCGGGGCUCAACCUCGGAACUGCCUUUGAUACUGCGAGUCUUGAGUCCGAAUAGAGGUGGGUGGAAUUCCUAGUGUAGAGGUGAAAUUCGUAGAUAUUCGGAAGAACACCAGUGGCGAAGGCGGCUCACUGGCCCCGU
Molecule: ribosomal RNA, 216 nt
Filed under: uncultured bacterium
Lineage: Bacteria
Description: partial 16S ribosomal RNA
Rfam family: Bacterial small subunit ribosomal RNA
Source: RNAcentral